CUGCCCCAGCCCCACUGCCCGCUCGGCCCCGGCUGUGCCCAUUCUCGCACCUUCCCUUGCUUUAUUAAUUCCCCCGUUUCCCAAGGGGCCGUCACAGCUCUUCGCAGCCAUCGCUCGCCGCCGGAGAGCUGCGGGCCGGUAGGGGGGCGGCUCCGGCGAGUGGGAGCCGCGGGGCUGCGGGACCCCUGCCCGGCGGCGGUACCUGUAGAAGUAGUGCCAGCAGAAGAGGCAGCAGAGGAGGCGGCAGCCGAGCGGCUCGAGGCGGGGCGGGCUGCGCAGGGCCAGCAGCAGCGCGGGCACCAGGAAGGAGGGCAGCUCCUGCAGGAACCAGGCGCAGCGCGCUGGCAGCCGACCCCGCGGCCGGCACAGCCGCUCCUCGUGCUUCCCGUAGCAGGAUGGCACCCGGAGCUGAAGAUCUACAAUCCAGCAUCUGAAGUUCCAGCAGGAACUGGAGAGGAGACACAAGGAGAGUUCAUGGACUGAGCAGAGAGCAGUGGCUGCUGGAUCUGCAAGGCAAGAAAUGCUUGUUGAUCUCAUGAGUCAGUCCCAGGAGAUGGCAGACAUGACUAAAAGGCUGGAAGACACGACACAUGAUACAGGAAGAAAACCAAAAGAACUGGACGAUAGCUGAAAAGACCUUGAGAAUAUUUAUUCAGUGAUUAUGCCAGGAAAAGGGCAUGAAGGAAAAAGACAGACCAUGGACACGGCACCUUUUUGCUCCACUUCCUCCAUAACUGCUGCUCCUGUGCAGGGAGUCUUUGGAAAUCUCACACAGAGCUGAGAGACAGCUGUCUCACUGAUCUCAGCCUCAAGACAAGGAGACCAGACCCUGGUGUAUAACUGCCAUUCUUCAUUACUCACGUACCAAAGCAAUAGUACCAGUGCAAUAGUUUGCUUGGCUCAGAGCUGACAUUGUCUUACUAUUGCUGAAGUGAAUAAAAGCUUUUUGUUUCGUGA
Pogoniulus pusillus (Red-fronted tinkerbird) is the source of this 957-nucleotide long non-coding RNA. RefSeq lists it as uncharacterized. NCBI's taxonomy places the organism in Eukaryota, Metazoa, Chordata, Aves, Piciformes, Lybiidae. The transcript has 3 exons. The record is from RefSeq and is a predicted model, not a curated record.